RNAcentral lists this ribosomal RNA (548 nucleotides) under uncultured bacterium. RNAcentral's name for it is "partial 16S ribosomal RNA". It matches the Rfam family "Bacterial small subunit ribosomal RNA", at positions 355 to 895 of the family's 1533-position model. The record is from RNAcentral.
UGGGGAAUUUUGGACAAUGGGCGAAAGCCUGAUCCAGCAAUGCCGCGUGUGUGAAGAAGGCCUUCGGGUUGUAAAGCACUUUUGUCCGGAAAGAAAUCCUUGGCUCUAAUACAGUCGGGGGAUGACGGUACCGGAAGAAUAAGCACCGGCUAACUACGUGCCAGCAGCCGCGGUAAUACGUAGGGUGCAAGCGUUAAUCGGAAUUACUGGGCGUAAAGCGUGCGCAGGCGGUUUGCUAAGACCGAUGUGAAAUCCCCGGGCUCAACCUGGGAACUGCAUUGGUGACUGGCAGGCUAGAGUAUGGCAGAGGGGGGUAGAAUUCCACGUGUAGCAGUGAAAUGCGUAGAGAUGUGGAGGAAUACCGAUGGCGAAGGCAGCCCCCUGGGCCAAUACUGACGCUCAUGCACGAAAGCGUGGGGGAGCAAACAGGAUUAGAUACCCCUGGUAGUCCACGCCCUAAACGAUGUCAACUAGUUGUUGGGGAUUCAUUCCUUAGUAACGUAGCUAACGCGUGAAGUUGACCGCCUGGGGAGUACGGUCGCAAGAUU